This 73-nucleotide transfer RNA is filed under the name Cordylochernes scorpioides. RNAcentral describes it as "tRNA-Thr". The stretch from base 5 to 66 matches the Rfam family "tRNA", at positions 6 to 65 of the family's 71-position model. Rfam says of the family: Transfer RNA (tRNA) molecules are approximately 80 nucleotides in length. Their secondary structure includes four short double-helical elements and three loops (D, anti-codon, and T loops). The record is from RNAcentral. Lineage: Eukaryota; Metazoa; Arthropoda; Arachnida; Pseudoscorpiones; Chernetidae.
GCCUGGUAGCCUUAUGGACAUGGCAUCUGCCCGGUAAGCGGAACAUUGUGGGUUCGAUUCCCAUCCCUGGACA